CUGGGGUAAGUCUCAUACGACCAGCUCCCUCUGAAACUCCCUAGGGUCGGAAGACAGCAAGGAUAGGAGGUUGUAGCGGUGCGAUGUGAGGAGCUUGCCCC
This 101-nucleotide signal recognition particle RNA is filed under the name uncultured Bacteroides sp. RNAcentral's name for it is "Bacteroidales small SRP". It matches the Rfam family "Bacteroidales small SRP". From Rfam's summary of the family: The non-coding component of the signal recognition particle in Bacteroides Lineage: Bacteria; Pseudomonadati; Bacteroidota; Bacteroidia; Bacteroidales; Bacteroidaceae. The record is from RNAcentral.